RNAcentral lists this ribosomal RNA (500 nucleotides) under uncultured bacterium. RNAcentral describes it as "bacterial SSU rRNA". It matches the Rfam family "Bacterial small subunit ribosomal RNA", at positions 28 to 518 of the family's 1533-position model. The record is from RNAcentral.
GACGAACGCUGGCGGCGUGGAUUAGGCAUGCAAGUCGAACGGUAGGAUACCUUCGGGUAUCUGAGAGUGGCGAACGGGUGAGUAACACGUAGGUGAUCUACCCUCAAGAUUGGGACAACCCAGGGAAACUUGGGCUAAUACCGGAUGAAAGCAGCAGUGAUGUUGUUUGAAAGGUGGCGUAAGCUGCCGUUUGGGGAUGAGCCUGCGCUCUAUUAGUUAGUUGGCGGGGUAAAGGCCCACCAAGGCGAUGAUAGAUAGGCGGCCUUAACGGGUGGUCGCCCACACUGGGAUUGAGAUACGGCCCAGACUCCUACGGGAGGCAGCAGUCGAGAAUAGUCUACAAUGGCCGAAAGGCUGAUAGUGCGACGCCGCGUGAACGAAGAAGCCCUUCGGGGUGUAAAGUCUUUUAUAUGUGAGCAGUGCUUCUUAUAUUAACAGUAUGGGGAGAGAGAUAUUAGCAUAUGAAUAAGCAAACGGCUAAACUCCGUGCCAGCAGACCC